UACGAAGGGGGCAAGCGUUGUCCGGAUUUACUGGGCGUAAAGAGCGCGCAGGCGGUCGAUUUAGUCGCGUGUGAAAGCCCCCGGCUCAACUGGGGAGGGUCACGCGAUACUGAUCGACUCGAAGGCAGGAGAGGGUAGUGGAAUUCCCGGUGUAGUGGUGAAAUGCGUAGAUAUCGGGAGGAACACCAGUGGCGAAGGCGACUACCUGGCCUGUUCUUGACGCUGAGGCGCGAAAGCUAGGGGAGCAAACGGG
RNAcentral lists this ribosomal RNA (253 nucleotides) under uncultured bacterium. RNAcentral's name for it is "partial 16S ribosomal RNA". It matches the Rfam family "Bacterial small subunit ribosomal RNA", at positions 524 to 776 of the family's 1533-position model. The record is from RNAcentral.